UACGUAGGGUGCAAGCGUUAUCCGGAAUUAUUGGGCGUAAAGAGCUCGUAGGCAGUCUGUCGCGUCUGCUGUGAAAACCCAAGGCUCAACCUCGGGCCUGCAGUGAAUACGAGCAAACUAGAGUGCAAUAGGGGAGAUUGGAAUUCCUGGUGUAGCGGUGGAAUGCGCAGAUAUCAGGAGGAACACCGAUGGCGAAGGCAGAUCUCUGGGCCGUAACUGACGCUGAGGUGCGAAAGCGUGGGUAGCAAACAGG
This 253-nucleotide ribosomal RNA is filed under the name uncultured bacterium. RNAcentral's name for it is "partial 16S ribosomal RNA". It matches the Rfam family "Bacterial small subunit ribosomal RNA", at positions 524 to 776 of the family's 1533-position model. The record is from RNAcentral.